This 298-nucleotide unclassified non-coding RNA is filed under the name Hevea brasiliensis (rubber tree). Lineage: Eukaryota; Viridiplantae; Streptophyta; Magnoliopsida; Malpighiales; Euphorbiaceae. The record is from RNAcentral.
CUAAGCACUGAUAACAGAGAUAUCAUAAUUGGAAGGAUGCCUGUAAUGGUGAAGUCUGACCUUUGCUGGAUGAAAACAGUUGAAAAAGGUGAUUGUGAUUUUGAUCAUGGAGGUUAUUUUUUGAUCAAGGGUGCAGAGAAGGUUUUUAUUGCACAAGAACAAAUUUGUUUAAAGAGACUUUGGAUCUCAAAUGCUCAGGGCUGGACAGUUGCAUAUAAGUCUGAAAUUAAAAGGAAUAGAUUAAUUGUUAGAUUAGUGGGGCUCUCUAAAGAUGACAGCAUUAAAGGAGAAAAGAAAG